RNAcentral lists this ribosomal RNA (408 nucleotides) under uncultured bacterium. RNAcentral describes it as "partial 16S ribosomal RNA". It matches the Rfam family "Bacterial small subunit ribosomal RNA", at positions 28 to 526 of the family's 1533-position model. The record is from RNAcentral.
GACGAACGCUGGCGGCGUGCUUAACACAUGCAAGUCGAACGAAGUGGCGAACGGGUGAGUAACGCGUAAUCAACCUGCCCUUCAGAGGGGGACAACAGUUGGAAACGACUGCUAAUACCGCAUACUGAAGGAGGGGAUUGCGUCUGAUUAGCUAUUUGCAGGGGUAACGGCCACCCAAGGCGAGGAUCAGUAGCGGGUCUGAGAGUAUGACCGGCCAAAUUGGGACUGAGACACGGCCCAGACGCCUACGGGAGGCAGCAGUGGGGAAUCUUCCGCAAUGGACGAAAGUCUGACGGAGCAACGCCGCGUGAGUGAUGACGGCCUUCGGGUUGUAAAGCUCUGUUAAGCGGGACGCGGUACCGGAAUAGAAAGCCACGGCUAACUACGUGCCAGCAGCCGCGGUAAUUC